Molecule: long non-coding RNA, 469 nt
Filed under: Hordeum vulgare
Lineage: Eukaryota; Viridiplantae; Streptophyta; Magnoliopsida; Poales; Poaceae
Description: long non-coding RNA (HVUL_LNC003390)
Source: RNAcentral
AAAGAUGGGGUUUAUAUCUAUUGCAUGAAUUUAUCCCUCUACAUCAUGUCAUCUUGCUUAAGGCGUUACUCUAUUUGUUAUGAACUCAAUACACUAGAUGCAUGCUCGAUAGCGGUCAAUGUGUGGAGAUGCAGAAAGUAUCGGUCUACUUGUCUCGGACGUGAUGCCUAUAUGUAUGAUCAUUGCCUUAGAUAUCAUCAUAACUUUCCGCGAUUCUAUCAGUUGCUCGACAGUAAUUCGUUCACCCACCGUAAUAUUUGCUUUCAUGAGAGAAGCCUCUAGUGAAAACUAUGGCCCCCGGGUCGACUUCACAUCAUAUUUUCAGCUCUAUACUUUUACUUUGUUGCACUUUCCACCUUCAUAUCUCACCUUGCAAUUAAUCGUGAAGGGAUUGACAACCCCUUUAUAGCGUUGGGUGCAAGUUUGUUAGUUUUUGCGCAGGUACAUUGGUGACUUGUCUUGAUACUCC